Molecule: long non-coding RNA, 1625 nt
Filed under: Homo sapiens (human)
Lineage: Eukaryota; Metazoa; Chordata; Mammalia; Primates; Hominidae
Description: HSALNT0121892
Source: RNAcentral
AUUGAGACUGCUGUUUGUACAGCAAAAAGGUUGUGGAAUAAGAAUGAGCUACUAAGAAACAGGAAACUCUUGAAACCACCCGGUCCCAGCACUGCCUGUGUGGCUACCUGCCCGUGGGUCAGUGGCCCCCCUCCAGCGAUGGAUCCAGAAGCAAGCCCAAGCAGCUACCUAGUUCUCUUGGACUGGGGGCUGUCUCUGGUACUCUCUCUACUGGCAGGAUGCUGCCAACCCAAUGUGCAUGGGUUUAAUUGCAAUGGAGUAAUAGUCCUGGGGAGAUGUCCCUUAACUGUAGCCCUAUCACAAGGUAUCUGCCUGUAGCCCCAUGGUGGAUGUCUGUCUGCAGCCCCAUUGCAGGGUGUCUGGAUUGAUGAGUAUCCUAGGCACUGCCAACGCUGACUUCCUUCUCCUGACUGGUUCUGUAGCCCUGUGGUGGGGUGUCUGUAGCCCCAUUGUGGGGCAUCUGUUUGUGGCUCCACCAUGGGGUCUCUGUGUCUGUAGCCCCACUGAGGGGUGUCUGUUCAGCUCCUGUGAGGGUCUCAGUUGGCUCUUUCUAACUAGUAGGAAGAGUCCUGGUUCGGGAGACUUCUCCUCAAUCAGGAAGAUUUCAAGGAGGUUUCUCAGAUGGAGAAUAGGAGGACAGUUUGGAAGGGAUACUCUCGGAGUUCUUGGUUAGGGAUCUGAUUUGGAAGGCCUUCUGUCCAUCUCAUCUUUGUGUGUGUUUGUACAUGUGAAAGGGAUCUCAGAAGGGGUUGCUGAUGGAAGUCCAGCAGGCCCAACUCAGAGAACCCUCCUUAUUUGUCUGGUCACAUUCAAUGAGCCCUAAAGGAGGCUCAACAAGGUGACUAUCUCUUCUUUGCCUUGCCCAGAGACCCCAACUGUGAAUUACCAUUCGGAGGUCGUCCCUCCCCACCUAGAGUGGAUCAAAGACAACAGGGACCAACGGGAAGAAGUUUGAGCUUUGCUAGGUUGAUUAUGGGUGCUGAACGAGUGGCUUGAAACCCACAUCUAUAGCACAAGCAAGCAGGGGCAUCAGAAGCCACUCCGUUCUUCUGGAAGCUGCAGAGAAAGGGAACCCGGAAACCUGAUAUGCCAGCAAAAAGGGACAAGAACCCGGAACUUGCUGAACCACAGGAGCUAAAGGGCUGUAAUGCUCUUGCUCACCUAGCUAUGGGUGGCAGGAGUAAAAGAGCUGUAACAUUCCCUCCCACUCACUGAGCUAUGGAAGUGAAGAGGCCGCUGGAUGCCACUCCUUUCUGCUCACUGAGCUACAGAAGUGAAGAGGCCACUGGGUGCCACUCCCUCCUGCUUGCUGAACUACAGGAGUGAAAAAUCUGAUGGCCUAAACAACACACAUUUAUUAUCUUACAGCUGUGGAGAUCAGAAGUGUGGAGUCCUGAGAAGGUACUCACCAAACUGUAGCUAUGAAUUAAACUUCAAACAACUGGCGUCAGCCUUCCUGCAAACCCUGGAGCAUCGUCAAAGAAACGCUACUCUAGUUCCCUCAUCCAAGAGUAAAAACAGAGAGGCAAGACAAGAUAGAAGGUCUUUAUUCAAUAGCAGAUGAGAGACUAUGCCUCAGUCCUCUGAGGGGAUGCAUUUCCCCCACAUACCAUUCCUUUCCCACG